Molecule: non-coding RNA, 21 nt
Filed under: Arabidopsis thaliana (thale cress)
Lineage: Eukaryota; Viridiplantae; Streptophyta; Magnoliopsida; Brassicales; Brassicaceae
Source: RNAcentral
UCCAGAAAACUACUUGGGUUG